AGUGAACGCUGGCGGUAGGCCUAACACAUGCAAGUCGAACGGCAGCACAGGAGAGCUUGCUCUCUGGGAGGCGAGUGGCGGACGGGUGAGGAAUACAUCGGAAUCUACUCUGUCGUGGGGGAUAACGUAGGGAAACUUACGCUAAUACCGCAUACGACCUACGGGUGAAAGCAGGGGACCUUCGGGCCUUGCGCGAUUGAAUGAGCCGAUGUCGGAUUAGCUAGUUGGCGGGGUAAAGGCCCACCAAGGCGACGAUCCGUAGCUGGUCUGAGAGUAUGAGCAGCCACACUGGAACUGAUGCACGGUCCAGACUCCUACGGGAGGCAGCAGAGGGGAAUAUUGGACAAUGGGCGCAAGCCUGAUCCAGCCAUACCGCGUGGGUGAAGAAGGCCUUCGGGUUGUAAAGCCCUUUUGUUGGGAAAGAAAUCCAGCUGGCUAAUACCCGGUUGGGAUGACGGUACCCAAAGAAUAAGCACCGGCUAACUUCGUGCCAGCAGCCGCAGUAA
This 506-nucleotide ribosomal RNA is filed under the name uncultured bacterium. RNAcentral describes it as "partial 16S ribosomal RNA". It matches the Rfam family "Bacterial small subunit ribosomal RNA", at positions 29 to 523 of the family's 1533-position model. The record is from RNAcentral.